GAUGAAGAACGUAGCGAAAUGCGAUAAGUAAUGUGAAUUUCAGAAUUCAGUGAAUCAUCGAAUCUUUGAACGCACAUUGCGCCCGCCAGCACUCUGGCGGGCAUGCCUGUUCGAGCGUCAUUUCAACCAUCAAGCCCCCAGGGGCUUGUGCUGGGGCCCUGCGGCUGCCCGCAGGCCCUGAAAACCAGUGGCGGGCUCGCUAGUCACACCGAGCGCAGUAGCACAUCUCGCUCAGGGCGUGCGGCGGGCUCCUGCCGUGAAACCCCCCACUGUAACCCCAAAGGUUGACCUCGGAUCAGGUAGGAAUACCCGCUGAACUUAAGCAUAUCAAUAAGCGGAGA
Molecule: unclassified non-coding RNA, 341 nt
Filed under: soil metagenome
Description: partial contains 5.8S ribosomal RNA, internal transcribed spacer 2, and large subunit ribosomal RNA
Rfam family: 5.8S ribosomal RNA (bases 1-120)
Source: RNAcentral